GGUUACAUAUUGUGUGUGUUUGUGGUUGGCAGGGGAGUGACAGAAGAGUGUGGCUUUGAGUGUCUUAGCAAGACACUAAUCUGUGCCAGCUUAACUCAAGGGUACGGAGUCAAUGAUACAUUGAAAACAAUUCAUGUUUUUACAGCUUAUACUCAAAUGUGAUAUGUUGGUAUGCAAAUGAGAGCAAAUGUCACUUACAAAACUGGGAGAUUCAAGCUUGACUACAACAGGAAUUAAAAACCUCAAGCUGGC
Molecule: non-coding RNA, 252 nt
Organism: Xyrichtys novacula (pearly razorfish)
Lineage: Eukaryota; Metazoa; Chordata; Actinopteri; Labriformes; Labridae
Source: the annotation of a GenBank genome assembly